CACGUCUUCCUGUUGUUCUAAUAGUGACCCCAAUGUGUGCUGAGCAUUUUCCUGUGCUGUUGUCUUCUAGAGAUGUUCUGUAUGCCCUUCUUUUCUCUUUUUGAUCCGGCUUAUCUUUCCCAUUUCUGGGAACAUUAGACAGUGUCUGGUUCCUUUCAGGUGCUGGUGUUCUCUUGCUUUUUCUUGCUGGCUUUUUCACCGUGUCCAUGCUUCCCGGGUGGUAUGGUGCCGUCAUAAAUGCCCUUCCAAGCUGCGUGACAGUGACGGAUGAUAUACCAAUAAUUGAGAGGCUUAUAAGUGACCAAGAGGAGUUAAGAAACGAGAGCCUCAGAUGGGAGUAUGUAAAACAGAGAUCAACAGAUUGGAACGGAACAAAAUGGCGUCAAUCGAAACAAGAAUGGAGGCAAGUAUGGAAAGCAGUUGACUGGAGGAAAAGUAAUCAUUAUAUACUGACAAGAGAGGAUAAAACGAAGAAAAUGGUGUUAAUGAAAGCAGACACAUGAAAGUUUUCUUAAUAGCUACAUAACAGAAUCUGGAGCUGUGGAACUCACCAAAGACCAACUAAGAGUUUAGAAUUGAAAGUGAAUAAAAUAAUAAACCACAAGAAUUUCCCCCAAUUAUGGAAAGUAAGGAGACAGAAGGCACCAAUAUGUUCACGAAUCUUUGCAUAUAUUAAAGUGCAUAAGACACCAACCAGCUUUAUUCCAAUAGUAGAAAAAAGAAGGGCUCCAACAUAUGAAUUAGAAAAACAAUUGUGGAGUAGUGCAAUAAAAUAUUAGGGGAAACAGAGAACUCAACCAAAAUUACAAUGGUAGC
This 816-nucleotide long non-coding RNA is filed under the name Androctonus crassicauda. The record is from RNAcentral. Lineage: Eukaryota; Metazoa; Arthropoda; Arachnida; Scorpiones; Buthidae.